AGAUAACCUACUCAACAAGAUGUUUCUUGUAAUGGAUUUUCCUGGCAAAAAAAAUGUAUUAUGGAAAUGUCUCCAAUCCAAGGAAAAGUGGGCCAGAUCAGCAGAAACCAAACCCUUAAUGCAGUGCAGGUGCUGCCAUGGAAAUGGACUGCAGACAGAUCCCCAACAUCAAAAAGCAAGGGACAGACCAUGAAGAAGGUAGCUGUGGGACAGGUGAAUGAAGAAGGCUCAUGUUAUUGCCAAAUGAAUGGGAGGACCAACAUCAACGUUUAAAAAGUGCACUGGAAAAACAGGAUGUGGUUAGAAGACGGCAGCCUAUCCCUAAUGCAACAGAGGGAGGAGACUGGGUACCCCCAGCAGAGGACAAAUGCUUGAAGUGCACCGUGCUCCCCAGGGCAGCAAGAUAAAGUGACCGAGCAGGUAACUGAAAAAUGACUCACAGAAGGAACAAAAUGUGCCAUAAGGAGGCUUCUGGCAAAAGAGAGGAGGAUCUAUCACCCGAGGCCAUGGGAGGCUGCCUGACCUGGAAAGGCUCCAAGACCUGGAAGAAGAGCUUUGAGGCAGCACAGAGAACACAGACCUAGCCCCAGAAAGGAGUCUACUGAGGUGAGGCAGCAAAAUAAAAGCAAGAUUUAUUGGUUUGUCUAGGUCCAUUUAUUAUUCAAGCGACCAUGUAAAGAACAGUUCUCAAUAUUCAUCGAUGUACACUUCUGCAGCCAUAUAAAACAAGUGUGAAAGACUGUAAAAUGAUGCAAAUUGGACUGCAACUUUGUCCAUGUGUUGGUGUCAGCCCUAGAUGGAAGGCACUGGGAAAUCAGGAUCUUCAUGUUUCUAAUGUGCGCUCAUACAGGCAGUUCCUUUUCCCUUUCAGUUCAGCCUUAAAUUCAAACAAUUUUGUCCAUGAGUAAAAGCAUAAUAUCCCACUUAAUAAGGGAAGGCUGCCCCAGACAACAUGUAAUCUAUAAGACUAGAAACAAAAGGUAGAACCACAUUUUGACAGUGCAAACAUAUUUUAAGAACUCCGUAGUUAGUGCUGCUUACUGCUUCACAUACUCAGUUUCCCGGGGUUUUCAUGCAGAUUUUACUGAAGUGGGCACAGCAUCAUAUGGCAGAUGCUACAGUAGUUUUCAGUGAAUAUCUUUCUUUACUAUUUUGGCCUUUUUACUUUAGAAGAGAUGUUUAAAAUAUUUUUACUUCAUGCCAUUUUAAUCAAUACUUUUUCUGCUUGGUAUCCAACU
Molecule: long non-coding RNA, 1238 nt
Organism: Struthio camelus australis
Lineage: Eukaryota; Metazoa; Chordata; Aves; Struthioniformes; Struthionidae
Source: RefSeq, a predicted model, not a curated record